CAAAUUUCUUUAUUAAUUUUUAAUAAAUAAUUUAUAUUAAAUAUAAAAAUAUAUUUAUAAAAAAAAAAGACGACAAGACCCUAUUAAAUUUUACUUAUAGUUUAGCUGGGGAAGCUUUUCAAUUAAAAUUUUUUAAAUUAAAUAAAUAAAAAUCUAAUAAAAUUAAAAUUUUAAUAAAUUACUAUAGGGAUAACAGCAUUAUAUUUUUUAAAAGUUCAUAUUAAAAAAAAUGAUUGUGACCUCGAUGUUGAAUUAUAUUUUCUAUAUUAAAUGCAAUAAUUAUAAAAGUAGAUCUGUUCGAUCUUUAAAAUAUUACAUGAUUUGAGUUCAAACCGGUGUAAACCAGGUUGGUUUCUAUCUUUUUAUAUAUUUUUCCAGUACGAAAGGACAAAAAAAUUUUUAUUUUAAUAAAUUAGCAAAUAAAUGCAUUAGAUUUAGAAUCUAAAUAUAUUUAAUAAUU
Molecule: unclassified non-coding RNA, 460 nt
Filed under: Anelosimus baeza
Lineage: Eukaryota; Metazoa; Arthropoda; Arachnida; Araneae; Theridiidae
Description: partial contains 16S ribosomal RNA and tRNA-Leu (trnL)
Rfam family: Bacterial large subunit ribosomal RNA (bases 64-363)
Source: RNAcentral